CCCCGUACGCACAUUCAAUGGUGCUCCAAGGUCCUUGUUAAGAAUAUAAGGAAUUCAUUCUUUUUAUAGGUCGCGAUAAAGACUCUGAUUAUUAAAAGAGAAACCACAAACGUCAUUACAAUUCUCUACGUAAUCGAUCCCUCUAAAAUAUGCGCAGCUUCUCGUAGAUUAUUCCGUUUGCGCGUCUUUUUGGUUUUUUGAACCGUCGUCACCUCAACCUUUUUAUCCCCUUGAGCGUCAUCAUGACGUCUUCAUUGUCGUCAAGCACUCGUCCAUUUUUUCUCCAUGACGCUGAAAAUAACCCUUAUGUAACAACCCCUCGAAAUGUGUACACUCUUUUUGCCCAAACGAUAAAGAAACUCUCUGCCUUGCAAAUCAUCUAAAAGCAAUGUGAUGUGUUUAAGUGUUGGUGGCGGUGUGGGUGUGAUGGUGGCUGGGAAUGCUAGGAAUCUGUUGAUGUUACAAGAAAAUCGUACGAUGGAAAGGUUAUCGUGCUGUAAUCACGAGUGCGUCUGUGAAGCGGGCGUACUUUCGUCAGCUAUAAUAAUGUUUUACGAAAACUGAUUGUAACUAAAGAAAGACUAAAGGCCACCAAUAACGUUGCUGUUUGUUUACUUUUUCUGGGGAAAUUAAAAGAGGCCCUACAGGUCCUGGAGAGCAUCAUCUGGUCCAACCCACCCAAGAACCUAAACGACGGUCUUCUCUUUAAUCUGUGCACAAUAUACGAACUGGAAUCAUCUUGGAGCUUGCAGAAGAAACAGAAAUUACUCGAACUUGUUUCUCAGUACAAAGGAGAUGGUUUUAAUGUCUCAUGUUUGAAAAUUUCUUGAUGGUAGUAGCAACAACCGUGAUGGCCGGCGUAACUUCUAUCUAUAGGAUAAUUAUACUGGAAUUAUUAUGCUUUGUGAGAGUUUUUAUGCCAAAAAACAGAGACAACGGUAUACACGUCUUUGAAAAUAACCAAAAGCAGUUUGUUAUACUAAACAAAUCAGCAAGGAAUUACACCAUUGAUGUUUUAUGCGAAAGGAUUUGUUAGACAAAAUAAUGAUAGUAGCAGUCGCCAUAUUUCUGUGAUUGAUGUUAUAUAGUAUUAUCAUAACACCUGUUGAUUCGACUAGUUAUCCCAGGCGCCUGUGUCUCUUCAUUGUUUACUGGUUGCCACCUGAGGCUAUACUUCCAAAUGCUCCACAGUUUUCAAAAGGUAAUUUGUCUUAUCGUAAAGAUUUUGUCACUUCAGAGAUAUGUGGUUUUUCAGAUGGAAGAUACAAGCGAAUAGGGCGAGAAUUAGAGAAAGAUUCCGAAUUUGAUUCCACGCAAAUUAGGUGGUCGUGAUUUAUGAGGACAUCGAUGACAAGAUAUGGGGAGGGGUAAUGUCAUAGCUCUAAAGCUUUGUUGAAGGCGGUUAUCAAAUCAUAGAAUGACAUAUUGGGUUGAUGGGGGAAAGGGGAAAUAGGUUCUCGAGAGACAAUCCAAUGUAAACUUAUUUCUAAGGAGCCAAUAAAAUACAUUAUCGUUGACAAUCCCUCAAAUUUUACGGCCUAUCACGCUAUUUUAUCCAAUUAAAUGAGAGCCACUUUUA
RNAcentral lists this long non-coding RNA (1579 nucleotides) under Actinia tenebrosa (Australian red waratah sea anemone). RNAcentral describes it as "uncharacterized LOC116305746". Lineage: Eukaryota; Metazoa; Cnidaria; Anthozoa; Actiniaria; Actiniidae. The record is from RNAcentral.